GUUCCAUAGGGUUUUUUCAGAGAUUGAGUGUUGAAGGCACUGGAUUCAGUAUGGAAUUGGGAAGGUGAAUGAGUGACUUGUCUUUGCCUCUCAUCCUGAAGAAGUAUGUUAUAAGCACUGUCCAAUGAGGGAGGGGGUUGCAUCAUGAGAAUGUUACUUCUAACACCUAUAUAUAUGUCAUUCAGCCCCAUAAGAAACUGGUGCAACUUAUUUUCA
This 216-nucleotide long non-coding RNA is filed under the name Nicotiana benthamiana. RNAcentral's name for it is "long non-coding RNA (NBEN_LNC000496)". Lineage: Eukaryota; Viridiplantae; Streptophyta; Magnoliopsida; Solanales; Solanaceae. The record is from RNAcentral.